GGAUUAGGCAUGCAAGUCGAGCGGCAAGGUUGUUUUCGAAUGACCCUAGAGCGGCGGAAGGGAUAGGAAUUUAUAGGUAACAUGCCUCUUAGGUCUGGAUAGCGUCUGGAAACGGACGAUAAUACAGGAUGAGGUCUUCGGACCAAAGGUGCGAUUCCCCUAGGAGAUUGGCCUAUAACCUAUUAGCUAGUUGGUAGGGUAACGGCUUACCAAGGCGAUGAUGGGUACGGGGCGUGAGAGCGUGACCCCGAUCACUGGGACUGAGACACUGCCCAGACGCCUACGGGCGGCUGCAGUCGAGAAUCUUCGGCAAUGGACGGAAGUCUGACCGAGCGACGCCGCGUGUAUGAUGAAGGCCUUCGGGUUGUAAACUGCUGUCACCUGGGACGAAAUCUACGGAGUUAACACCUCACGUAUUUGACGGUACCAGGAGAGGAAGCCAUGGCUAACUCUGUGCCAGCAGCCGCGGUAAUA
RNAcentral lists this ribosomal RNA (474 nucleotides) under uncultured Planctomycetota bacterium. RNAcentral describes it as "bacterial SSU rRNA". It matches the Rfam family "Bacterial small subunit ribosomal RNA", at positions 46 to 525 of the family's 1533-position model. Lineage: Bacteria; Pseudomonadati; Planctomycetota. The record is from RNAcentral.